AUGGAGAGCCAGAUAGGGAGUGGCCCCGCGAGCGCAGAAGAAGAGCUGAAGGCUCGGGCAUGGGCGCGCAUAGGAGCGGGCAUGUGCCACGGGGUUAUCCGAGGAGCUCAGUGGCUACCCCUGCAAUGGCCAUGGCGGACGGCGGUUCUCGGCCACGGCGAAAUACCUAACGAGAGCAAACGAAAGGGGAAACUGGGGAAAGGCAAGAGGAGAUCACGACGGUGUCAAUGA
This 231-nucleotide ribosomal RNA is filed under the name Triticum aestivum (bread wheat). Its description in RNAcentral is "partial small subunit ribosomal RNA". The record is from RNAcentral. Lineage: Eukaryota; Viridiplantae; Streptophyta; Magnoliopsida; Poales; Poaceae.